CGAACCGUGGCGGGAGAGUCCUCCCAGUCAUUCACCGGGCAGGCGCCGUAGGAGCAAAUCCUCCCCAGGAAUCUCUCAGGCCCCCGUACCGCCGCGGCUAG
RNAcentral lists this non-coding RNA (101 nucleotides) under Arthrobacter globiformis. RNAcentral's name for it is "Glycine sequence". It matches the Rfam family "Glycine riboswitch aptamer". Rfam says of the family: This family represents the bacterial glycine riboswitch. Glycine riboswitches usually consist of two metabolite-binding aptamers domains with similar structures in tandem. RNAcentral also lists the same sequence under 1 other name. The record is from RNAcentral. Lineage: Bacteria; Bacillati; Actinomycetota; Actinomycetes; Micrococcales; Micrococcaceae.